UACGAAGGGGGCAAGCGUUGUUCGGAAUUACUGGGCGUAAAGGGCGCGCAGGCGGCCAGACAAGUCAGAUGUGAAAGCCCCGGGCUCAACCUGGGAAUAGCAUUUGGGACUGUUUGGCUAGAGAUCGGGAGAGGAGAGUGGAAUUCCCAGUGUAGAGGUGAAAUUCGUAGAUAUCUGGAGGAACACCGGUGGCGAAGGCGGCGUCCUGGACCAACACUGACACUGAGGAGCGAAAGCCAGGGGAGCAAACGGG
RNAcentral lists this ribosomal RNA (253 nucleotides) under uncultured bacterium. Its description in RNAcentral is "partial 16S ribosomal RNA". It matches the Rfam family "Bacterial small subunit ribosomal RNA", at positions 524 to 776 of the family's 1533-position model. The record is from RNAcentral.